AACAAAUUAAUCUGUAUAAUAGCAAAUGCUGUUUACAGCUAUGGUACUAGAGACGGUACGAAAUAGAUGUUUCAGACCCGGGGGCAGUACCCGGCAUCUCCACCACUUUACGGGUGUUGAAAAAACUGGAGUUUAAGAUGAGUGCCAGGAGUUUGCUGUUUUUGCGCUGGGAGUGUAUUUGCGGUACAUGACCAAGUAAAAACAAAAAUGACGACACAAUCACUUAAAAUACAGGCUUCUGACCUAUGGGGAUGAAAUAGGAUUGAUGGGACAUAGUAAAGGUAUUUUGUUGUACUCGGUGAGAUACCACCGUUAUCGGUUCAACUUAAAAUGAAUGCUAACGAUAAUAACGUAGCACCAGUUGCUUUGGCUGCUUAAGCUUAAAGUGACGAACUUAAAUUCUUGAAACUUUGGUUAGUUUCAAGUGGGGGAGGAGCCACCUAGCAACAGAACGGC
Molecule: transfer-messenger RNA, 456 nt
Filed under: bovine gut metagenome
Description: Alphaproteobacteria transfer-messenger RNA
Rfam family: Alphaproteobacteria transfer-messenger RNA
About the family: Bacterial tmRNA, also known as 10Sa RNA or SsrA, is named for its dual tRNA and mRNA-like properties.
Source: RNAcentral